CAUCGUCAGCGACAUCCGGCGGUGAGACGACCCAGAUGUGGCGAUCUUGAUCUCGUCGACUUGCGGAUCGUCAGCACGAAGCAGGAGGCCGAGGGAGAGUUGCAGGGAUUGAUCCUGGGGCGGGUUGCCAGCGCGCGGUUGAUCGCAGCUUCGCUCGUCCGCCGGUCGCGCGAAAAUAGUCGUUCACGAACAGCGUCGAGAUGGACUCG
Molecule: ribosomal RNA, 209 nt
Filed under: uncultured bacterium
Lineage: Bacteria
Description: partial 16S ribosomal RNA
Source: RNAcentral